GUGGGGAAUCUUAGACAAUGGGGGAAACCCUGAUCUAGCCAUGCCGCGUGAUCGAUGAAGGCCUUAGGGUUGUAAAGAUCUUUCAGGUGGGAAGAUAAUGACUGUACCCCAAGAAGAAGCCCCGGCUAACUCCGUGCCAGCAGCCGCGGUAAUACGGAGGGGGCUAGCGUUGUUCGGAAUUACUGGGCGUAAAGCGCACGUAGGCGGACUGGAAAGUCAGGGGUGAAAUCCCGGGGCUCAACCCCGGAACUGCCUUUGAAACUCCCAGUCUUGAGUUCGAGAGAGGUGAGUGGAAUUCCGAGUGUAGAGGUGAAAUUCGUAGAUAUUCGGAGGAACACCAGUGGCGAAGGCGGCUCACUGGCUCGAUACUGACGCUGAGGUGCGAAAGCGUGGGGAGCAAACAGGAUUAGAAACCCCGGUAGUCC
RNAcentral lists this ribosomal RNA (425 nucleotides) under uncultured bacterium. RNAcentral's name for it is "partial 16S ribosomal RNA". It matches the Rfam family "Bacterial small subunit ribosomal RNA", at positions 354 to 796 of the family's 1533-position model. The record is from RNAcentral.